RNA transcript from Cyprinus carpio (common carp), 1773 nucleotides. It is a transcript of the gene named UTP20 small subunit processome component, with no coding region annotated. Lineage: Eukaryota; Metazoa; Chordata; Actinopteri; Cypriniformes; Cyprinidae. The transcript has 11 exons. The record is from RefSeq and is a predicted model, not a curated record.
UAAUGAGUUCUGACCUGCAGGUGGCUCCCACACAGGACCUCAUAAAGAAGAGCAGCUCCUCAUCAGAGCAGGAAAUGUGUGAAGAGGUAGACACUGACAUGGAAGAAAAGGAAGAAGAUUCCAAACAACCCAAGAAGAAGAUCCCUAGAAAAGCAGCAGCCAAGCAGCUCAUUGCACACUUAAAGGUCUUUUCCAAAUUCACCAACCCAAAAGCUUUAUAUAUGGAGGCAAAACUAAGUCAACUGUAUAUCCAAGUAUGAUUUCCCAUCUUAAUGUGAAAGAUAAUUUUACUUAUUAAUGGCUGCCUGAGACAAAUUUUUCUCUAACCCACCGCUUCUGUGCCAUAAAGACCACCAAAUCCAGAAAAUAGCACUGUAAUGUUUGAUGACAUACAAAGACCCAAACAUUCUGGUCUACAAAGAGAUCCUGGAGAGACUUCUGAAUGACAAGCACUUUAAAGAUGAGAUUGUCCAUUUCAACAUCUCAGAGGAAGGAGCCGCGGUACUUCUGUCGCAUAGACCCCAGCUCAUUUCCAUGCUUAUGAGGAUACUAUAUGGGCGGAUGUGCCCUAGGGUUGGUAAUAGGUUUCAGGGUAAGGCGAACACAGCUUUGCAUUCCUCCAUAGUGCUGCGCUUCCUGGCAGGCUGUCAGGCAGAGGAGUUGGGCAUGUUUAUAGAUCUUCUGCUGGAGCCUGUUUGUCAUCAUGCUGAAGGAGCAUGUCUGGCCGCAAUAGAAUGAGCUGUAGCCGAGACAAACCUGUCUGCUGUUCUCCCUGUGGGUCACCAACACAGCCUGCUCAACACCAUAGAAAUGCUCAUCCAAAAAAUGGGCCAUCUCAUCCACAUCUACCUGCCCAAAGUUCUGCAGAUCCUGCUGUGCAUCACGGCCUCAGUGUCAUUUAUACUGGAUCACAGAGAACAGCUCAAACCUGGCUGCAUCAAUCUUCUGAAGAACUUCAUUAUUCGUAUUCACCAGCACUCCUCGUGAAAGUCAUCCGUGUGUGGAGCCAAAAUCCUAGAGCUGCUUAAUAGCUGGAUAUAAUUGGUUCCUAAAUUGUUGAACUUUGUAACAUCCGACAUUGAACCGAAUCGAAUCAGCACUGAACUGACUUAACCUGAAUAAAGUAUUUUCCUUUGUUUGCUAAGCAGAGACCGGGCCACCCUGAGUGUGAUGUCCUGCUCAGUGUAUUUGCUCUGUUACCCUCCAAAAACGUGUCUGCCAUCACGACGGCCAUAGUGAUGGAAAUAGCAGAGAGCUUGCUAACCUCUCCAGACUAUGAACCCAAGGAGAAUGAAUCAGAUCUGAUUCUGAAUGACUGUGUGAUCCCCGAACCCGAUCAGAGCUGUUAUGUAUCAGGGUAGAUUCUUUGACUAUCGGCUGCCAUCUGCUCCUUCCUCACAUCCCAGCACUGCUGCAGUACCUCAGCGGAGUCGUGUGUAACUCUGAACGCCUCAAGAAGAAGAAAUUCAUCAAACAUCCUCUCAAAACCCCACACUGAAGAAUCUGGCUCAGGAGUUGAUCGAGUUGUUGAAGAAGCUGGUCGGUCUGGAGCGAUUCUCUCUGGCCUUUGCCGCAGUGCAGAAAGAAGCCGCUCAGAGACGAGCUUCACGCAAGAAAGCCAAAGCCAUGCAGGCUGUUGUAAAUCCUGACAUUGCUGCCAGAAAGAAGGUAAAGAAGCAGUUUAAGAAAAACGAGGCCAAAAAGCGGAAAAUCGCAUUUGUGUGUACAGGACAUAAAGCAAAGAAACAUAAAGGCACGUCACUGAAAGACUUG